CGGUAAUACAGAGGGUGCAAGCGUUAAUCGGAAUUACUGGGCGUAAAGGGGGCGUAGGUGGCUCGAUAAGUCAGAUGUGAAAUCCCCGGGCUCAACCUGGGAACUGCAUCUGAUACUGUUGAGCUAGAGUAUGUGAGAGGAAGGUAGAAUUCCAGGUGUAGCGGUGAAAUGCGUAGAGAUCUGGAGGAAUACCGAUGGCGAAGGCAGCCUUCUGGCAUAAUACUGACACUGAGGCUCGAAAGCGUGGGUAGCAAACAGGAUUAGAUACCCGGG
This 273-nucleotide ribosomal RNA is filed under the name uncultured Psychrobacter sp. RNAcentral describes it as "partial 16S ribosomal RNA". It matches the Rfam family "Bacterial small subunit ribosomal RNA", at positions 518 to 790 of the family's 1533-position model. The record is from RNAcentral. Lineage: Bacteria; Pseudomonadati; Pseudomonadota; Gammaproteobacteria; Moraxellales; Moraxellaceae.